This 422-nucleotide ribosomal RNA is filed under the name uncultured bacterium. Its description in RNAcentral is "bacterial SSU rRNA". It matches the Rfam family "Bacterial small subunit ribosomal RNA", at positions 355 to 774 of the family's 1533-position model. The record is from RNAcentral.
UGAGGAAUAUUGGGCAAUGCCCGCAAGGGUGACCCAGCAACGCCGCGUGGAGGAUGAAUGUCGUAAGAUUGUAAACUCCUGUUAGAGGGGAAGAAUAGUACCGGUUGGACCGGUAUAUGACUGUACCCUCAGAGAAAGCCCCGGCUAACUACGUGCCAGCAGCCGCGGUAAUACGUAGGGGGCAAGCGUUGUCCGGAUUUACUGGGUGUCAAGGGCGCGCAGGCGGGAUAAAAAGUCAGUGGUGAAAUCCUACAGCUUAACUGUAGAACUGCCUUUGAUACUUUUAUUCUUGAGUUCGGGAGAGAGAGACGGAAUUCCAGGUGUAGUGGUGAAAUACGUAGAUAUCUGGAAGAACACCCGUUGCGAAGGCGGUCUCUUGGUCCGACACUGACGCUGAGGCGCGAAAGCGUGGGGAGCAAACA